This 214-nucleotide unclassified non-coding RNA is filed under the name rhizosphere metagenome. RNAcentral describes it as "partial ribosomal RNA internal transcribed spacer region". The record is from RNAcentral.
GUAGGUGAACCUGCGGAAGGAUCAUUACAGAGUUCAUGCCCUCACGGGUAGAUCUCCCACCCUUGAAUACUAUACCUUAGUUGCUUUGGCAGGCCGUGGAAACACCCUGGGCUUCGGCUCGGGCGUGCCUGCCAGAGGAAACAAACUCUGUUUUUAGUGAUGUCUGAGUACUAUGUAAUAGUUAAAACUUUCAACAACGGAUCUCUUGGUUCUG